This 548-nucleotide long non-coding RNA is filed under the name Ananas comosus (pineapple). RNAcentral's name for it is "long non-coding RNA (ACOM_LNC044553)". Lineage: Eukaryota; Viridiplantae; Streptophyta; Magnoliopsida; Poales; Bromeliaceae. The record is from RNAcentral.
UAAAAAAUAAAUUUGGGUUCGGUUCGGGUUCAGAUUCGGGUUGGAUUCGGUCAAAAUUGAUAUCCCAAUCUAUAUCCAUCGAAUUUUUAUUUUUAAUAUCCAUAUCCAUAUCCGUUUAGCAUUUAAUAAACUCGCUCCGUUUAAAUUCCGGUUCCGGUAAAAUUUCGAGUAUCCAUAACCAUCGACAUUUCAGAUAUCAAUUUUGAUCGAAUCCAACCCGAACCUGAACCCGAACCAAACCCAAAUUUAUUUUUUUAUUAUAUGUAAUAUGUAUAAUAACAUUUGAUGUUAUAUUCGAAUUUGUAUUUUAAAAUUUUAAAUUUAAUGUAAUAUAUUUUGAAAUAUUGAAAAUAGAAAUAAUUGUUUCGGAUUUGAGUUUGGGUUCGGGUUUUGAAAUGUUUGUCGGAUUUGGGUUUGGAUAUGGAUAUUGAAAAUCUAUUGGGUUCGGGUUUGGUUCGAAUUCGGAUUUCAAGUUUGGAGUCAGGUGGGUUCGAAUUUUUAAAAAUUCGCCCUGAAUAUGGCCAGUUGACAUUUAUAUAUAGUAGGGA